AUGGAUGUCGUGGGGCUGCUCCUCUGCCUGGUGGCCACUCCCUGCUGUGUCCUGUCCGAGGUGCAGCUGCAGGAGUCGGGCCCAGGACUGGUGAAGCCCUCACAGACCCUCUCCCUCACCUGUACUGUCUCUGGUGACUCCAUCACAACCAGUAGUUCCUACUGGCACUGGAUCCGCCAGCUCUCAGGGAAGGAGCUCGAGUGGAUGGGACGCAUCUAUUACAGUGGCAGCACAGCUUAUAACCCAUCCGUCAAGAGCCGCAUCUCCAUCACCAGAGACACGUCCAAGAACCAGUUCUCCCUGCAGCUGAGCUCUGUGACCGACGAAGACACGGCCAUGUAUUUCUGUGCGAGAGACACAAUGACAGGAAGUCAGCGUUCUACAUGUAACACUACAGAGGAACUCAUAAUUGGCCAUAAUGACAAUAUAAACAUGCCCUAUGGAAUAGAGCGCUCAUCUGUUCCAGGCCAUGUUACCUUUACUCGAUUACACCAGACACAAGAAAUGGACCAGCACCAGACAGUGGUACGUCGUGCCCAACUAAUGUUCAGAGUUGCUGUGAUCCAGUGA
This is a non-coding RNA of Galeopterus variegatus (Sunda flying lemur), 570 nucleotides long. NCBI's taxonomy places the organism in Eukaryota, Metazoa, Chordata, Mammalia, Dermoptera, Cynocephalidae. The record is from the annotation of a RefSeq genome assembly.